UCAACUGGUUUGUCAACAAUUUCUAGUUGAUUAGCAAGUGCUUUUACCUAAUUUACAUGAGCCAUGAGGUCAUCUCUUUCUUCCAUCUUUAUUGUCUAGAACUUCCUCCUUGUCCAAAGGAUGUUGAUAAGGUUUCUACUCUCAUAGAUGUUGCAAAGAGUCUUCCAUGCUUCUGUUGGUCCAUUGCAAGCUAUAACAUAUAAAAAGUUGGCAUCAUCAAGGUUUAUUGCAAUCAUCCCAAAAGCCUUCCUUUCAUGACGUUUAUACUUCUUCUUUACUUUGAUAUCAGCAUUGUCACUUGGAGGGUCUUCACUUUCAUCAACAAUGUUCCAAAGGUCCAAUGAAGCCAACAAAAGCUCCAUUUUUUUCUUCCAAUGGUAAAAGUUGUCACCUCUAAACUUUUCAAUCACUCUCAAGCUCUCACUUUCACUUGAAGCAAUGUCUAGGGAAAGGAUGUGUGAAAGAAUAACAAAAAAAGAGAAGAUAGAACUCUCAAAAUCAACAA
Molecule: long non-coding RNA, 505 nt
Filed under: Physcomitrium patens
Lineage: Eukaryota; Viridiplantae; Streptophyta; Bryopsida; Funariales; Funariaceae
Description: long non-coding RNA (PPAT_LNC012518)
Source: RNAcentral